UCUAAACAUCCCUCGUUCCCAUCCCUCUUUCAUCCUUUUAUUUAGCUGCUUUCCUCCAAAAUACUUAGGACCGAUGUUGUAAAUUUGUUUAAACAUUGUCUUCCCCACUGGAAUGGGAGGGCACAAGUGCAUGGGCUUGCUUUGUUGGCUGCUGAAUUACUGCACCCAGCAGCACACCAGGCACAGGGUGGGUACUCAAAUAUUGGUUGGAACAAAUCAUUGCUUUUAACCUGAGGGCUGCUCCUCCCUCCCUUCUUCUGUUUCUCCCCAAACACCCAGGACAGUGGCCCCUGCUCAUGCUCUGCUCGUGAUGAGGGCUUGUUAAAUUAAAUUGACAUGUUCAACUUUUCAAAUCCCCAUUUACCCUUCCCCACCCAAAAAAACCCAACAUGGCCAGGCACGGUGGCUCACGCCUGUAAUCCCAGCACUUUGGGAGGCCGAGGUGGGCGGAUCACCUGAGGUCAGGAGUUUGAGACCAGUCUGGCCAAUGUGCUGAAACCCCGUCUCUACUAAAAAUAUUUUUAAAAAUUAGCCAGGUGUGGUGGCGGGCACCUGUAAUUGCAACUACCUGGGAGGCUGAGGAAAGAGAAUUGUUUGAACUGGGGAGGCAGAGGUUGCAGUGAGCUGAGAUGGUGCCAUUGCACACCAGCAUGGGUGACAAGAGUCAAACUCCAUCUCAAAAAAAUAAUUAUAGGUUGGGCACGGUGGCUCAAGCCUGUAAUCCUAGCACUUUGGGAGGCUGAGGCGGGUGGAUCACAAGGUCAGGAGCUUGAGACCAGCCUGGCCAACACAGUGAAACCCCUCUCUACUAAAAAUAAAAUCAGCCAGGCGUGAUGGAUGCCUGUAAUCCCAGCUACUUGGGAGGCUGAGGCAGGAGAAUCGCUUGAACCCAGGAGGCAGAGGUUGCAGUGACCCGA
This is a long non-coding RNA of Homo sapiens (human), 917 nucleotides long. The record is from Ensembl. Lineage: Eukaryota; Metazoa; Chordata; Mammalia; Primates; Hominidae.